GGUGGGCCCGCGACCUAUCAGCUUGUCGGUGGGGUAACGGCCUACCGAGGCUCUGACGGGUAGCUGGUCUGAGAGGACGACCAGCCACACGGGGACUGAGACACGGCCCCGACUCCUACGGGAGGCAGCAGUGAGGAAUCUUCCGCAAUGGGCGAAAGCCUGACGGAGCGACGCCGCGUGUGGGAUGAAGUCUCUCGGGAUGUAAACCACUGUCGGAGGGGAAGAGAAUGGACGGUACCCUCCAAGAAGGCCCCGGCUAACUACGUGCCAGCAGCCGCGGUAAUACGUAGGGGGCAAGCGUUACUCGGAUUCACUGGGCGUAAAGCGCGUGUAGGCGGCUGGUCAAGCGUGAUGUGAAAUCUCCGGGCUCAACCCGGAAACUGCAUCGCGAACUGGCCUGGCUGGAGUGCAGGAGAGGGAUGUGGAAUUCCCGGUGUAGCGGUGAAAUGCGUAGAUAUCGGGAGG
Molecule: ribosomal RNA, 465 nt
Filed under: uncultured Thermomicrobia bacterium
Lineage: Bacteria; Pseudomonadati; Thermomicrobiota; Thermomicrobia
Description: bacterial SSU rRNA
Rfam family: Bacterial small subunit ribosomal RNA
Source: RNAcentral